Molecule: ribosomal RNA, 446 nt
Filed under: Salmonella enterica subsp. enterica serovar Kentucky
Lineage: Bacteria; Pseudomonadati; Pseudomonadota; Gammaproteobacteria; Enterobacterales; Enterobacteriaceae
Description: partial 23S ribosomal RNA
Rfam family: Bacterial large subunit ribosomal RNA
Source: RNAcentral
GGGUAGAGCACUGUUUCGGCUAGGGGGCCAUCCCGGCUUACCAACCCGAUGCAAACUGCGAAUACCGGAGAAUGUUAUCACGGGAGACACACGGCGGGUGCUAACGUCCGUCGUGAAGAGGGAAACAACCCAGACCGCCAGCUAAGGUCCCAAAGUCAUGGUUAAGUGGGAAACGAUGUGGGAAGGCCCAGACAGCCAGGAUGUUGGCUUAGAAGCAGCCAUCAUUUAAAGAAAGCGUAAUAGCUCACUGGUCGAGUCGGCCUGCGCGGAAGAUGUAACGGGGCUAAACCAUGCACCGAAGCUGCGGCAGCGAACGUAUCACUUAAAGCGAUUCAGCGGGUUACGAUUGACGGAGCGAAGCGACGUCAAAGCGUAUACAAAGUCGAGUCGGUUUAAGGAUACGUUCGUUGGGUAGGGGAGCGUUCUGUAAGCCUGUGAAGGUGGCC